This is an RNA transcript of Daucus carota subsp. sativus, 3021 nucleotides long. It is a transcript of the gene named phosphatidylinositol 4-phosphate 5-kinase 7, with no coding region annotated. The transcript has 12 exons. The record is from RefSeq and is a predicted model, not a curated record. Lineage: Eukaryota; Viridiplantae; Streptophyta; Magnoliopsida; Apiales; Apiaceae.
GACGGGCAGCUGUCUGUUCCUGGAAAAAGAUAUAAAGUGAAAAGACAAGGAAGAAAACGAUGCUCUGGGGUUUCCUUUCUCUUCAGGUGCUUGCCGUGCCGUAACACAAAUCCUAGAUUACUUCAACAUCAAGUCUAUUCACUCUCUGUCUCCUACAACCUAAUACCACUCAAUCAAUUACUGUUCCACUGCCAUCGUCACUUCUCUUCACUUUCCAAUUUUAACUCCUUCAUGUAUUGUGACGCUGGAUGAAUGAGCUUUCUACCUUGUGGUAUUAAUAUUACUUGGCGAAGUACCAUUUAGAUUAACAAGUGCCAGCUUUCUGAAACGAGGACAUUAAAAGGCAUUCGAGUCUGGUAGUUCAUAUGUCAUUUAAUAACCAUGAGUACAAGUGAAAGGACUAGCGAGUACAUCUUUAGAAAUGGUGAUGUCUAUUUAGGUAAUUUUAAAGGUGUGCUGCCACAUGGCAGUGGUAAAUAUACUUGGUUUGAUGGAACAGUUUAUGAGGGGGAUUGGGAAGAAGGAAAAAUGACUGGGAAAGGAAAGAUUUCGUGGAAUUCGGGAGCAGCUUAUGUGGGUGAGUUUUCAGGUGGUUACCUUCAUGGUUUUGGUACCCUCACUAAUCCAAACGGAUCUGUAUAUAGAGGUUCGUGGAGGUUGAACAUUCAGUAUGGAUUUGGAAAGAAACAAUAUCAGAAUUUAGAUUACUAUGAAGGUUUAUGGAAAGAGGGAGUGCAUGAAGGCAGUGGUAGUUAUGUUUGGUCUAACGGUAACAUGUACAUUGGAUCAUGGAAAUCUGGGAAAAUUUGUGGUAGAGGUGUUAUUAAAUGGUCGGAUGGUGAUCUUUUUGAUGGUUUCUGGCUGAAUGGUUUAAGGCAUGGGUCAGGAUAUUACAGGUUUGCUGAUGGAAGUUAUUAUUUUGGGACAUGGACCAAAGGCCUUAAGGAUGGACGCGGAACAUACUAUCCUACUGGGAGCAAGAGUCCAGAUAUAAAGAAUUGGUGUAGCUUUAACAUACAUAAGGUUGAUAGGGAGGGGGUUUUGUCUCGUAGUUUGUCAGUGGGUCUAGAGGAGAGCAAAGUUAUUAAACCUAGUUUUAAGCGUAGUUUAUCCGAGAGGAUCUCCUUCACUAAAUAUGUCAGAGGUUCUGGUCGUAUAUCCAGUAAGAGUAUAUCUUUGGAUGAAGACUGGAGUCUUAACAAUACUACUAUAGAUUUUGCAACUUGUGAUAUGUCCUGCAUGCUAUCUCACUCAUCUGGUGAAGGUCGUAAAUGUACGCAGGACAAUGAUGUUGUAGCUUAUGAAAGAGAAUAUAUGCAAGGAAUUCUGAUCAAAGAAAGGAUAAUGAAUAAAGCAGGACCCUCUGGAAAAAGUAGAAAGCGGUGUAAAGGAAAGGAAGCAACAAAGAAGUCAUGUCUGAAUAUAUCUAAAGGCAAUCGAAGCUACUUCUUGAUGCUCAACUUGCAACUUGGCAUCCGGUAUACAGUGGGAAAGAUUACACCAGUCCCUCUGCGUGAAGUCCGAGUAUCUGAUUUUGGAGAAAGUGCUAGGAUAAAAAUGUACUUCCCUAGAAAGGGUUCUCAAUUUACUCCGCCACAUAAAUCUUCUGACUUCUAUUGGAUGGAUUACUGUCCUAUGGUAUUCAGGAAUUUGAGGGAUAUGUUCAAGCUAGAUGCUGCUGAGUACAUGAUAUCUAUUUGUGGCGAUAAUGGUCUGAGAGAACACUCUUCUUCUGGAAAAAGUGGCAGCAUCUUCUAUGUUUCUCAUGAUGAUAAAUUUGUCAUCAAAACAUUAAAGAGAUCUGAACUAGAGGUUUUGCUAAAGAUGCUUCCGAAUUACUAUGAUUAUGUAAAAGAGCAUGACAACACCCUUAUAACUAAGUUUUUUGGAGUACACAGGAUAAAAUGGAAAUGUGGGAAGAAGGUACGCUUUGUUGUCAUGGGGAACAUGUUGCGAACUGAGUUGCGAAUUCAUCAUCGUUAUGAUUUGAAGGGUUCAUGUCAAGGAAGAGUCACAAAUAAAGAUCACAUAGCUGCAAAUACCACAUUAAAGGACCGGGAUCUACAAUAUGAGUUCUACAUGGACAGAUUGUUGCGUGAGUCACUUUUCAAACAAAUCUAUCUUGAUUGCAUGUUCCUAGAGUCUCAACAGAUAAUUGAUUACAGUCUUCUGCUGGGACUACAUUUUCGAGCUCCUAAGCAUUUGAAACCCCUCCAAGAAUCACAAGACUUGUUACAAGGGCCUGAGAAUACUUCUGCUGGUAGCGGAAAAGCCUCACCAGGUGAUCUAUAUGUUCCUCCUAAAGGUCUUCUGCUGGUGACACAUGAACCCAACAUAGUCAAUACAACACCAGGUUCUCACAUAAGAGGAAAUACUCUGAGGGCAUUUUCUUUGGGUGAUAGAGAAGUAGAUCUUCUUCUGCCUGAUACUGGAAGGUUACGGGUGCAACUAGGCGUAAACAUGCCAGCUCGGGCAAGUUGCAAGCUCCUGCGAGAUAACAUUGAUUCAGCUGAAGUCGAACUAUUUGAAGUUUAUGACGUUAUCCUCUUUCUUGGUAUUAUUGAUAUAUUGCAGGAAUAUAACAUAAAGAAAAAAGCUGAGCAUGCAUACAAGUCAAUUCAGUUCGACUCAACAUCAAUUUCCGUUGUUGAGCCCAAAUUUUAUUCAAGACGAUUAAUAAACUUUUUGGAGAGCGUCAUUCUUGUUGAAAAUGAAGAGGUGGUUAUUGUUGAAAAUGAAGAGGUUUAAAUUACUAGAGGUACAGUUACUUUUGUUUCUUUCUUUGGAGUCUUUUAGCAACUGUAUAGUAAAAAGAGCAGUUGGAUGCUGUUUUGGUGCAAAUUGCUCUAUUUGUGCCUAAGAGAAGAACAUGGAUGUGCAGUGCAGAAAUGCAUAGAUUUGGUACUCCCUCAGUCCUUCCUCGGUCCUUUUUAGUUGUCACAUUACCAAAGAUUAUAAGUUACUAUCUUUCAUUAUUUUAAAAAACUGACAAUUAAGUAGAUUAAAAUUUAUUUCCGAUAA